RNAcentral lists this ribosomal RNA (876 nucleotides) under uncultured bacterium. RNAcentral's name for it is "bacterial SSU rRNA". It matches the Rfam family "Bacterial small subunit ribosomal RNA", at positions 56 to 929 of the family's 1533-position model. The record is from RNAcentral.
UGCAGUCGAACGGUAACAUUUCUAGCUUGCUAGAAGAUGACGAGUGGCGGACGGGUGAGUAAUGCUUAGGAAUUUGCCUUUGUGAGGGGGAUAACAGUUGGAAACGACUGCUAAUACCGCAUGACGUCUUUGGACCAAAGGGGGCUUUUGCUCUCGCGCAAAGAGAAGCCUAAGUGAGAUUAGCUAGUUGGUGGGGUAAAGGCCUACCAAGGCGACGAUCUCUAGCUGUUCUGAGAGGAAGAUCAGCCACACUGGGACUGAGACACGGCCCAGACUCCUACGGGAGGCAGCAGUGGGGAAUAUUGCACAAUGGGGGGAACCCUGAUGCAGCCAUGCCGCGUGUGUGAAGAAGGCCUUCGGGUUGUAAAGCACUUUCAGUGGUGAGGAAAGGGUGAUGGUUAAUACCCAUCAUCUGUGACGUUAGCCACAGAAGAAGCACCGGCUAACUCCGCGCCAGCAGCCGCGGUAAUACGGAGGGUGCGAGCGUUAAUCGGAAUUACUGGGCGUAAAGCGCACGCAGGCGGUUUGUUAAGCGAGAUGUGAAAGCCCCGGGCUCAACCUGGGAGGGUCAUUUCGAACUGGCAGACUAGAGUUUUGGAGAGGGGAGUGGAAUUCCAGGUGUAGCGGUGAAAUGCGUAGAUAUCUGGAGGAGCAUCAGUGGCGAAGGCGACUCCCUGGUCAAAGACUGACGCUCAUGUGCGAAAGUGUGGGUAGCGAACAGGAUUAGAUACCCUGGUAGUCCACACUGUAAACGCUGUCUACUAGCUGUCUGUGUGAUUUAUCACGUGGGUAGCGCAGCUAACGCGCUAAGUAGACCGCCNGGGGNGUACGGCCGCANGGUUAAAACUCAAAUGAAUUGANNGGGGCCCGCACAAG